Molecule: ribosomal RNA, 417 nt
Filed under: uncultured microorganism
Description: bacterial SSU rRNA
Rfam family: Bacterial small subunit ribosomal RNA
Source: RNAcentral
GAGUUUGAUCGUGGCUCAGGAUGAACGCUGGCGGCGUGCCUAACACAUGCAAGUCGAACGGAGUUCUUAAGGAAUGCGGCUUCGGCCAAAUGACUUUUGAACUUAGUGGCGGACGGGUGAGUAACGCGUGAGCAACCGUGCCUUUCAGAGGGGGAUAACAUUUGGAAACAGAUGCUAAUACCGCAUAAGAUUACAGUACCGCAUGAUACAGUGAUCAAAGGAGCAAUCCGCUGAAAGAUGGGCUCGCGUCCGAUUAGAUAGUUGGUGAGGUAACGGCUCACCAAGUCGACGAUCGGUAGCCGGACUGAGAGGUUGAACGGCCACAUUGGGACUGAGACACGGCCCAGACUCCUACGGGAGGCAGCAGUGGGGAAUAUUGCACAAUGGGCGAAAGCCUGAUGCAGCAACGCCGCGUGA